Molecule: long non-coding RNA, 906 nt
Filed under: Homo sapiens (human)
Lineage: Eukaryota; Metazoa; Chordata; Mammalia; Primates; Hominidae
Description: novel transcript
Source: RNAcentral
GGGGGAGGGGGACGGGAGAGAGGGAGAGAGGGAAAGAAGGACAUGGAAACUUACAGUGAAAUUUUCGUUGUUUAUAGCUUUCUUGGGGAAGAAAACACAUGCACAAAUCCUGGUGUAAGGAAUAUUUUAAGCAUAUAUCUUCAAUAUCAUUCAUCCAGGACCGAGCAAGACCAACACUCUUCCUCCUCCUCUGCCUACUCAAUGUGAAGACAAUGAGGAUGAACACCUUUAUGAUGCUCCACUUCCACUUAUUGAAUAGUGCUACACAUGAAACUUGUAACCAGUUACUACAGGCGAAAGCAAAUCCAUGUCUUCAGGCUGGUGUCAUCAGGGAGAGAAGCUUUGGUUUCCACAUAAGGAUAUAAGAUCAUUGAUGUAAAACAAGUGAGUUUCACUUUAUACCCAGGACAUGUAACCUCUCAAAUUGAGAGAAUGGAUUGGAGAGAUAUUGUUGACCAUGUUUUCCCCUGUAUCUCACCUUCCCCUCUCCAAGACUUCCUUGUCAGUUACCCAUAUUGAUAUCAGUUUAUCCACAUCCAUGCUUUCAAGUUUAAACAAAGAAACUAGGCAAAGGCAGCUAUGUAUUCGCUAGGAUUAGGGAGGAGAAGAUAAUGAACCACUGGAUAGUGAGAAGAAAGAGAGGUGGAGAAAGUGAGAGACCCCAGUAACAGAGGACAGGGACACAUUGCUAAGGAUAGGGACACAUUCACUGUAAUAUAGAAGGCCAUGCUUAUAUGUAAAAUAUGCAGUAAUUGUAUAUAUAUGUACAAAAGUGAUGACACACAUAUGCACAUAAACAAAACACAAUUACUGUCUAUGUUUCUUUAUUUGUGACCUAAUGUUUUAUGUUGUUUGUAACUGAAAAAAAAAUUCCCUUCUGAAUAAAAUGUCAAUUUUGCGAUUGCA